This 22-nucleotide ribosomal RNA is filed under the name Chlorella variabilis. Its description in RNAcentral is "partial 28S ribosomal RNA". Lineage: Eukaryota; Viridiplantae; Chlorophyta; Trebouxiophyceae; Chlorellales; Chlorellaceae. The record is from RNAcentral. RNAcentral also lists the same sequence under 1 other name.
UCGACCUGAGCUCAGGCAAGAC